GCUGGGUGUGGUGGUGCACAUCUGUAUUCCCAACAGCUCAGGAAGGCUGAGGCAGGAGGAUCGCAAGUUCAAAGCCAGCCUCAGCAACGGUGAGGCGCUAGGUAACUUGGUGAGACCCUGUUUCUA
Molecule: small RNA, 126 nt
Filed under: Marmota monax (woodchuck)
Lineage: Eukaryota; Metazoa; Chordata; Mammalia; Rodentia; Sciuridae
Source: RNAcentral